UUCUGGCUCAGGAUGAACGCUAGCUACAGGCUUAACACAUGCAAGUCGAGGGGCAGCAUAAUCGAAGCUUGCUUUGAUUGAUGGCGACCGGCGCACGGGUGAGUAACGCGUAUCCAACCUUCCCCUUAGUAGGGCAUAGCCCGGCGAAAGUCGGAUUAAUACCCUAUGUUAUCCGUCGAGGACAUCUGAAGUGGAUUAAAGAUUUAUCGCUAAGGGAUGGGGAUGCGUCUGAUUAGGUUGUUGGCGGGGUAACGGCCCACCAAGCCUACGAUCAGUAGGGGUUCUGAGAGGAAGGUCCCCCACAUUGGUACUGAGACACGGACCAAACUCCUACGGGAGGCAGCAGUGAGGAAUAUUGGUCAAUGGGCGAGAGCCUGAACCAGCCAAGUGGCGUGCCAGGAUGACGGCCCUAUGGGUUGUAAACUGCUUUUGCAUGGGAAUAAAGUCGGGGACGUGUCCCCGUUUGUAUGUACCAUGAGAAUAAGGACCGGCUAAUUCCGUGCCAGCCGCAGC
Molecule: ribosomal RNA, 513 nt
Filed under: uncultured bacterium
Lineage: Bacteria
Description: bacterial SSU rRNA
Rfam family: Bacterial small subunit ribosomal RNA
Source: RNAcentral